RNAcentral lists this ribosomal RNA (492 nucleotides) under uncultured bacterium. RNAcentral describes it as "partial 16S ribosomal RNA". It matches the Rfam family "Bacterial small subunit ribosomal RNA", at positions 29 to 507 of the family's 1533-position model. The record is from RNAcentral.
AUUGAACGCUGGCGGCAUGCUUUACACAUGCAAGUCGAACGGUAACAGGCCUUCGGGUGCUGACGAGUGGCGAACGGGUGAGUAAUGCAACGGAACGUACCCAGUGGUGGGGGAUAACGCAGCGAAAGCUGUGCUAAUACCUCAUGUGAUCUGAGGAUGAAAGCGGGGGACCGCGCAGCAAUGUUUGGCCUCGCGCCUUUGGAGCGGCCGAUGUCGGAUUAGCUAGUUGGGGGGGUAAAGGCCUACCAAGGCGACGAUCCGUAGCUGGUCUGAGAGGACGACCAGCCACACUGGGACUGAGACACGGCCCAGACUCCUACGGGAGGCAGCAGUGGGGAAUUUUGGACAAUGGGCGCAAGCCUGAUCCAGCAAUGCCGCGUGCGGGAAGAAGGCCUUCGGGUUGUAAACCGCUGUUGGCAGGAACGAAACGGUGUCCGCUAAUACCGGGAGCUAAUGACGGUACCUGCAGAAUAAGCACCGGCUAACUACGUG